RNAcentral lists this ribosomal RNA (253 nucleotides) under uncultured bacterium. Its description in RNAcentral is "partial 16S ribosomal RNA". It matches the Rfam family "Bacterial small subunit ribosomal RNA", at positions 524 to 776 of the family's 1533-position model. The record is from RNAcentral.
UACGGGGGGGGCAAGCGUUGUUCGGAAUUACUGGGCGUAAAGGGCUCGUAGGCGGCCAACUAAGUCAGACGUGAAAUCCCCAGGCUUAACCUGGGAACUGCGUCUGAUACUGGAUGGCUUGAAUUCGGGAGAGGGAUGCAGAAUUCCAGGUGUAGCGGUGAAAUGCGUAGAUAUCUGGAGGAACACCGGUGGCGAAGGCGGUUCUCUGGGCAUGACCUGACGCUGAGGAGCGAAAGUGUGGGGAGCGAACAGG